GCGGAGGAAAAGAAACCAACAGGGAUUGCCUUAGUAGCGGCGAGUGAAGCGGCAAAAGCUCAAAUUUGAAAUCUGGCACUUUCAGUGUCCGAGUUGUAAUUUGAAGAAGGUAUCUUUGGGUCUGGCUCUUGUCUAUGUUUCUUGGAACAGAACGUCACAGAGGGUGAGAAUCCCGUGCGAUGAGAUGACCCAGACCUAUGUAAAGUUCCUUCGAAGAGUCGAGUUGUUUGGGAAUGCAGCUCUAAGUGGGUGGUAAAUUCCAUCUAAAGCUAAAUAUUGGCGAGAGACCGAUAGCGAACAAGUACAGUGAUGGAAAGAUGAAAAGAACUUUGAAAAGAGAGUGAAAAAGUACGUGAAAUUGUUGAAAGGGAAGGGCUUGAGAUCAGACUUGGUAUUUUGUAUGUUACUCUUUCGGGGGUGGCCUCUACAGUUUACCGGGCCAGCAUCAGUUUGGGCGGUAGGAGAAUUGCAAAGAAAUGUGGCACUGCUUCGGUAGUGUGUUAUAGUCUUUGUCGAUACUGCCAGCCUAGACUGAGGACUGCGGCUUCGGCCUAGGAUGUUGGCAUAAUGAUCUUAAGUCGCCCGUCUUG
RNAcentral lists this ribosomal RNA (590 nucleotides) under Lodderomyces metapsilosis. Its description in RNAcentral is "eukaryotic LSU rRNA". It matches the Rfam family "Eukaryotic large subunit ribosomal RNA", at positions 50 to 656 of the family's 3401-position model. Lineage: Eukaryota; Fungi; Ascomycota; Pichiomycetes; Serinales; Debaryomycetaceae. The record is from RNAcentral.